RNAcentral lists this unclassified non-coding RNA (202 nucleotides) under uncultured fungus. RNAcentral describes it as "sequence contains ITS1". The stretch from base 1 to 98 matches the Rfam family "5.8S ribosomal RNA", at positions 50 to 154 of the family's 154-position model. Lineage: Eukaryota; Fungi. The record is from RNAcentral.
GAACUGCGGUACGUAGUGUGAAUUGCAGAUGUCUGUGAAUCAUCGAGGUUUUGAACGCAAGUGGCGCUGCCAAAAGCAGCAUACUUGUUCGAGUGUUGGUAACAACAAGAAUCACCAAAAGAGAAACUCGUUUCUCUUUUGUUGGAUUUGAAGAGUCCCUCGCCCCCUUCUUUUUUGAGGGCCGGCCGUGGUCCUUCGAAGA